This is an RNA transcript of Zingiber officinale, 1332 nucleotides long. It is a transcript of the gene named nuclear pore complex protein NUP155-like, with no coding region annotated. The record is from RefSeq and is a predicted model, not a curated record. NCBI's taxonomy places the organism in Eukaryota, Viridiplantae, Streptophyta, Magnoliopsida, Zingiberales, Zingiberaceae. The transcript is spliced from 4 exons.
CCCAUUCCGCACCCCUAUUACCUCAAACCAAACGCCGACAAGUUGAUCUCACAGGUAAUCCGUCGCGGUGUUUCUAUCGUAGCAUAGGGUUUGCGACAGCUGCGCGGCCCUCCGACGAUCGCGUAAUGGCGUGGGGGCGACGAAACCGUGGGACUGGAUGUAGCCUCCGCCGGCCUCCAUGUCACCGAGCGCAUCGGCAGGGACGUCGCCGGCCGCCUCGACCUCGAGGAGGCUAUCGAAGCCUCGCUCUAUGCUAGCCUCCCCCUACUCCACCCUCCCCAAAGAGGAACUCCUGUUCUUAUAGGAGAAAAGGAAAUUUUGGAGAAGUAUAUUUUGGUUGCUUCUGUUAGAAAGAUUAUUCUGUGUGAAGCUCUUUCUAGAGGUGGAGUUGCAGAAGCAUGUUCUGUAGUAAAGAGGGUCGGUUCAAAUAUCUAUACUGGAGUGGAGGGUCGCUUGUCUUUAGAGAUUAUUUAUCUUCAUCUUGAAAUGGCUGCUUCAGUAAAAUUUGUGUUCUCACCCCAAUUGUUCUUUAUUAAAGUUCAACUUUUCUGUUAAUAUUUGUAUAUCUAUUAAUUUUCUGUUUUACUUGUCUAGCAAUGUAUGAAUAUUCUACAAACAGGCCUCAUCAUACGUGCUAGAGCCCUUCUUGCUGCUUGUAAGGUUGAACCAAAGCCUGUAUUAAGCACAUAUGAUCAGCUUUUAUCAUAUGGAGCUAUUUUACCUUCGCCAAACCUGAAACUUCGCUGUCUGAGAUCUGUUCUUGCUGUACUCUGUGAGUGGGUUGGGUCUGUAUUUGCACAUACAUUAGGGACCACAGCUGUUGGCGCUUCUCCAAUCCUUGGUGGAUUACUCUUGUUACAACAGACAACAAUCAUCAACCAAGGAGCUCGAGAUAAGAUAACCAGUUUAGCAAAUGGGCAUACGGUCUCGUUAUGUGAAGGGUUUAGGUCCAUUACCUAAACUAUCUGUAGUGGGUGGUUCUAGAGCCACAAACAUCAGUUUAAAACAUCAUGAUGAUUAUGGAAAAUUUGCAACUAUGCAGAAAACAAUCGAUGAACAGAAUCUGACUAUACGUGAGUAGCAUCAAAAAUUUGAAGCAUUAUUGCACCAACUUCAACAGGUCAAUUCCUGGCUUCUCAUUCCAGCCUCCACCAACAUGCUAUUCAAUUCGACCUCCUCCACCACCUCCCUCGCCUCCAUUAUCGACUAUGUAAUUUUUUAUUUUGCAACAUUAUGUAAUGCACAUUUUACUACUCAUGUUCUUUUGGAUAAUAUUUGACUAGCUGUGUUCAUGUUUUAAAAAUAUUUGACUAAUUAAUAGUAAAUUGCACU